AUUGAACGCUGGCGGCAUGCCUAACACAUGCAAGUCGAACGGCAGCACAGAUAUAGUUUACUAUAUUGGGUGGCGAGUGGCGGACGGGUGAGUAACGCGUGGGUAUAUAACCUAAAGACGGGGACAACUUGCGGAAACGCGAGCUAAUACCGGAUAAGCUCUGAGGAGAAAAGCUGGGGAUCUGGCGACAGACCUGGCGCUUUAGGAGUAACCUGCGUCCAAUUAGCUAGUUGGUAGGGUAAAGGCCUACCAAGGCGACGAUUGGUAGCUGGUCUGAGAGGACGGACAGCCACACUGGGACUGAGACACGGCCCAGACUCCUACGGGAGGCAGCAGUGGGGAAUAUUGGACAAUGGGCGAAAGCCUGAUCCAGCAAUGCCGCGUGUGUGAAGAAGGCCUGAGGGUUGUAAAGCACUUUCGGCCGGGAAGGAAAUACGUGGUCUCUAACAUAGGCCAUGGAUGACGGUACCGGACUAAGAAGCACCGGCUAACUACGU
Molecule: ribosomal RNA, 497 nt
Filed under: uncultured bacterium
Lineage: Bacteria
Description: bacterial SSU rRNA
Rfam family: Bacterial small subunit ribosomal RNA
Source: RNAcentral